ACUGUAUUUAGGAUAAGGAGACGGUCACGUAUAUAUGCUGCGAGGCGCCAGGCAGCAAAACUCUCGCUUUUAGUAGUUUUUCAAAGACACCCUUCAGGAAGCCAACAUGCCCAAAAGAAAGGGAGCCGAAGGUGACGCAAAGGAGGAGCCUCAGAGGAGAUCUGCACGGUUAUCUGCAAGGCCGGCUCCUCCCAAGCCUGAACCAAAACCAAAAAAGACAGCUAAGAAAGACAAAGCGGUUAAAGACAAGAAAGAGGACAAAAAGAGCAAGGCGAAGGCCAAGGAGUCCACAGAGCCAGAGGCCAAUGAGGAGAACCACUCAGAAAACAGAGAUGCCAAGGCCAAUGCGGUUGAGGAGACUCCUGAUGACGCCAAGGACGAAGCAAAAUCGGAGUAGCAUCACUGCCUCCCAUUGGCCCUCUCUUCCUUUCCACUUUCCCCUUGCCCCCCUUUUUUCUCUUUUUCCCCCCAAAACGCUCCCGGUCUCAUGUUAUUGCCCCUCUCUCUUCCAGGCAUAUUGUUAACAGAGGAAUAUUUUUAUCAAUGAUUUUAUAAGUAUCGAUACAGAUUUUUAGCACAAACUUAAAGCUAAACGCGGAGCACCUUGCAGAUUUGCAGUGGUCAUAUCAAGUGUCUGCGAGAUGAACACACUAAAAAAAAAAAAAAAAUCUUUUUUUUAAAUGGCAUUUCAUGAGUGUCGAUAGGUUGUUUGGUCUAGUAAGAGCAUACCUGCUUCUACAGUUUUGAGUGUUGUCCUGU
RNAcentral lists this long non-coding RNA (759 nucleotides) under Astyanax mexicanus (Mexican tetra). RNAcentral's name for it is "lncRNA (ENSAMXG00005021633.1)". Lineage: Eukaryota; Metazoa; Chordata; Actinopteri; Characiformes; Acestrorhamphidae. The record is from RNAcentral.